This 422-nucleotide ribosomal RNA is filed under the name uncultured bacterium. Its description in RNAcentral is "partial 16S ribosomal RNA". It matches the Rfam family "Bacterial small subunit ribosomal RNA", at positions 362 to 776 of the family's 1533-position model. The record is from RNAcentral.
UAUUGGACAAUGGGGGGAACCCUGAUCCAGCCAUGCCGCGUGUGUGAAGAAGGUCUUCNGAUUGUNANGCACUUUAAGUUGGGAGNCCGGGGUUGAAGCUAAUACCUUCAAUCUUUGACGUUACCAACAGAAUAAGCACCGGCUAACUCUGUGCCAGCAGCCGCGGUAAUACAGAGGGUGCAAGCGUUAAUCGGAAUUACUGGGCGUAAAGCGCGCGUAGGUGGUUCAGUAAGAUGGAAGUGAAAUCCCCGGGCUUAACCUGGGAACUGCUUUCAUAACUGCUGAGCUAGAGUACGGUAGAGGGUAGUGGAAUUUCCUGUGUAGCGGUGAAAUGCGUAGAUAUAGGAAGGAACACCAGUGGCGAAGGCGACUACCUGGACUGAUACUGACACUGAGGUGCGAAAGCGUGGGGAGCAAACAGG